CUGGCAAUCCAAAUAAUAUUGAUGGAGAUGACAACUGUGGUUUUCUAAAUAAUAGCCUGUUAGAGGAUAAACCAUGCAGCAGCCAAUUCUACUUCUUCUGUCACAUCCCAUAUACAGUGAGACAGCAAGUAUUAAAACUGAAGAUUCAAGGAGACAAUAGUGUGUUUGGUCCUUCUUCUCAGGCAGCCAUUUUACAACAGGUCAAGCAGAAACUGAAGGACCACGGCGUAGAGAGAGAGACAAAUGUGACCUGGAGGGUGUGGCCAGAAUGGAACAAUCGUUCACAAGAAGAAUGAUCUCUAAACAAUCUUCUUACAUACUUCUCAGCAUCUAAC
This is a long non-coding RNA of Tachysurus vachellii, 335 nucleotides long. RefSeq lists it as uncharacterized. The transcript is spliced from 3 exons. Lineage: Eukaryota; Metazoa; Chordata; Actinopteri; Siluriformes; Bagridae. The record is from RefSeq and is a predicted model, not a curated record.